RNAcentral lists this ribosomal RNA (372 nucleotides) under Streptococcus salivarius. RNAcentral describes it as "partial 23S ribosomal RNA". It matches the Rfam family "Bacterial large subunit ribosomal RNA", at positions 2555 to 2925 of the family's 2925-position model. The record is from RNAcentral. Lineage: Bacteria; Bacillati; Bacillota; Bacilli; Lactobacillales; Streptococcaceae.
GAAGUAGGUCCCAAGGGUAUGGCUGUUCGCCAUUUAAAGUGGUACGCGAGCUGGGUUUAGAACGUCGUGAGACAGUUCGGUCCCUAUCUGCCGUGGGCGUUGGAUGAUUGAUUGGGGCUGCUCCUAGUACGAGAGGACCGGAGUGGACGCAUCACUGGUGUUCCAGUUGUCUCGCCAGAGGCAUUGCUGGGUAGCUAAAUGCGGAAGAGAUAAGUGCUGAAAGCAUCUAAGCACGAAACUUGCCAAGAGAUGAGUCAUCCCUGACUUUAAGUCAGUAAGGGUUGUUGUAGACUACGACGUAGAUAGGUCAGGUGUGUAAGUGUAGUGAUACAUUGAGCUAACAGAUACUAAUUGCCCGAGAGGCUUAACUAU